UCCUCUGUAGUUCAGUCGGUGGAACGGCGGACUGUUAAUCCGUAUGUCACUGGUUCGAGUCCAGUCAGAGGAGCCA
This 76-nucleotide transfer RNA is filed under the name Escherichia coli. RNAcentral's name for it is "tRNA-Asn". It matches the Rfam family "tRNA". From Rfam's summary of the family: Transfer RNA (tRNA) molecules are approximately 80 nucleotides in length. The record is from RNAcentral. Lineage: Bacteria; Pseudomonadati; Pseudomonadota; Gammaproteobacteria; Enterobacterales; Enterobacteriaceae. RNAcentral also lists the same sequence under 3 other names.